CACCUCUCAAGGUCGCAUCUAGAGAGUUACCAGUAUUCUACCAGUCUCGGCUACAGGAGGGAGAGUCAAGCAGAGGCCUAUCCAUUCUAUUCCACUCCUAGCUUGGCAAAUGGCUAGUGAGUGGAAGGCAGUCUGCCACAAGU
This is a small nucleolar RNA of Ornithorhynchus anatinus (platypus), 143 nucleotides long. NCBI's taxonomy places the organism in Eukaryota, Metazoa, Chordata, Mammalia, Monotremata, Ornithorhynchidae. The record is from RefSeq and is a predicted model, not a curated record.